This 396-nucleotide ribosomal RNA is filed under the name uncultured bacterium. RNAcentral describes it as "partial 16S ribosomal RNA". It matches the Rfam family "Bacterial small subunit ribosomal RNA", at positions 523 to 918 of the family's 1533-position model. The record is from RNAcentral.
AUACGUAGGGGGCGAGCGUUGUCCGGAAUGAUUGGGCGUAAAGGGCGCGUAGGCGGCCCGGUAAGUCUGGAGUGAAAGUCCUGUUUUUAAGAUGGGAAUUGCUUUGGAUACUGUCGGGCUUGAGUGCAGGAGAGGUAAGUGGAAUUCCCAGUGUAGCGGUGAAAUGCGUAGAGAUUGGGAGGAACACCAGUGGCGAAGGCGACUUACUGGACUGUAACUGACGCUGAGGCGCGAAAGUGUGGGGAGCAAACAGGAUUAGAUACCCUGGUAGUCCACACUGUAAACGAUGAAUGCUAGGUGUAGGGGGUAUCGACCCCUUCUGUGCCGCAGUCAACACAAUAAGCAUUCCGCCUGGGAGUACGGCCGCAAGGUUGAAACUCAAAGGAAUUGGCGGGG